This 788-nucleotide ribosomal RNA is filed under the name Orbulina universa. RNAcentral describes it as "bacterial SSU rRNA". It matches the Rfam family "Eukaryotic small subunit ribosomal RNA", at positions 1208 to 1702 of the family's 1831-position model. The record is from RNAcentral. Lineage: Eukaryota; Foraminifera; Rotaliida; Globigerinidae.
UUAUACCGAACUACGAAUAAUGAAUGGUCCAGGGUAGGCAAAAACUAAUAGCUCUUUUAUGAUUAUGUGAUAGGUGGUGCAUGGCCGUUCUUAGUUCGUGGAGUGAUCUGUCUGCUUAAUUGCGUUUCAAAACAACUGAUACACAGAGUCUUGGCACAGUUCAGUUUAAUGGCGUCGAGUAUCUUUGAUUUCGACAGUAGUCCAACUCGGUUCGCCAGGGUCUCUUUUGAACGCAACGGACGUGAUCGCAACCCUUUGUUGAGUGAUGUCAGCACUCUACGUCUAUCCUAGCUCGUUGAUCGCAAGUGAGAGUUGGGUGGGCAAACUCAGGGGACAGCUUCAACUAUUCUUCUUCAAACUAGAGGAAGGUUGCGGCAAUAACAGGUCUGUGAUGCCCUCAGAUGUUCUAGGCUGCACACGUGCUACAUUGAUCAGCACAAUGCGAUACAUUUCGAAAGGAAACAUCGGUUUUAAGGUAACGUCGAUUGCCUACCGAUAGCACCUGGUCCCCAGUGGACUGGGCAAUCUCUUCUAAAUGCUGGUAAGGUACCCACACUCGAGCUAUUUAAUCACACGCGGGAGGCACACACGGUUCAAAUCUCAUUUGCGACUGUUGCCGCCAUGACGUAUGCAACUUGUCAAUUCUUCGUGGGGAUCGUCGAUUGCAACUAUUCGACUCGCCACAACUAGGAAUGCCUCGUACGGGUCUCGGUUCACCAUACCGCCCGGAAUACGUCCCUGCCCUUUGUACACACCGCCCGUCGCUCUUACCGAUUGAACUAUACUGC